UUUAAUUAGAGUUUGAUCCUAGCUCAGGGUGAACGCUGGCGGCGUGGAUGAGGCAUGCAAGUCGAAUGGGUUUAGACCCAUGGCAGACGAGGUAGGAACACGUAGGUACAUACCCCAAAGUCAGGGAUAACCUGGAGAAAUCCAGAAUAAUACUUGAUAGUCUCUUC
RNAcentral lists this ribosomal RNA (167 nucleotides) under Minisyncoccota bacterium. Its description in RNAcentral is "partial 16S ribosomal RNA". It matches the Rfam family "Bacterial small subunit ribosomal RNA", at positions 1 to 183 of the family's 1533-position model. The record is from RNAcentral. Lineage: Bacteria; Bacillati; Minisyncoccota.